RNAcentral lists this long non-coding RNA (5693 nucleotides) under Gallus gallus (chicken). RNAcentral describes it as "lncRNA (ENSGALG00010015539.1)". Lineage: Eukaryota; Metazoa; Chordata; Aves; Galliformes; Phasianidae. The record is from RNAcentral.
AAAAGUCCAAGUGUAGCAUGCAUGAAUUCCUUCCAGAGUUGGACAGGCUUGCUUCAACAAUUUGUGAUGUUUAAAAGCCAUUAAAUUACUUAGCCAUCUGCUGUUAAUAAUGGGAAACUUCUGAUAGAGCUGAAGGUCUGAACAAUGGGAAUGAAUUGUUGAUUGUCCUUAAAGUGCAGUAGGCUUUGUUGUAAUCAUGAAACUGCAGUCUAUAAAUAUUUUAAGUAUCUUAAAAGUGUAUUUCUAACUCUCCCUUCUGUGGGCUUCUGAAUGCAGCACUCGUGUAAAUGAAAUGCAAUGUGAGAGGAUCUGAUUUAAUCCCUACUGGCUUCAAUGUGCCUACUGAGUUUGGAGGCUAGAAGCAACGCUAGAAAUUAUGUUAACAGGAGUGGCACGUAGCUGACCUGCAUGGUAUUCACCAAUAGGCAGGAGCACAUUCUCCCCCAAGUUAAUAAUUUCUUAUCCCUUGGAUGACUCUGUAAAUACAUGUGCAGUACAGCUGGAGCUACAGAAGUACUAAAACAGGAAAAAAUUAGAAAUGUUCUUCUACCAUAUUUUUCUCUGAAUCUGUGCUCCUCGUUGUAGGAGUGAUUUAGAGAUGACCACAUGACAAAGCACGCAGCACAUGAGGAUGCUGAUUUUUUUUUUUGUCUCCUCUCCCCUCCUCACUUCAAUAGGGACCAGCUUUCUCUUUUACAGUGAUGUUGGACAGUUAAUACACGGAAAAAUGCAGUGGAUAUCAGACACAAGAUCAUUCCCACGUCCAGCUGACAGCUUAGUGCCAGAAAUGCAGUGCUACUCAAUAGACUUUGGUGGACUUCUGCAGGCGCUGCUAAACCUGAUGGAGAUGGAGUGCACAGCAGACCGGUGUUGGCAUAGCUAAGUUCUAAGCAAGGAAAUGGACUUCUUGGAAACAGUGCUGAGGUAGUGAUGUCCGGUUUUCCCAGUUCUAACAGCUCCCAAGGUUUGCAGCUACUAGGUUUUCUGUAACGGCUUGUACUUGGAGAAUCUCUUUCAAAAUCGGUGAGCAGGGUGCUCUUGUGCUGGACUAUGAGGAGUAACUUUCUACGAGUUUUGGAACUGUGCUGAUAUGGCACUUGGCAAGCUUUACCUGGGAGCAUCUCGUGCAGAGAACAUGAAGAGCAUAUCAGAGGUUAGAGGAUAAAGAAAAGCAGAAAUAUUUGCUCUUCUCCAGAUGCCUGUGACUCACAUGCUGAUGAGUGCCUGUUCUGCUUUAGCCUCCAAUGCAUCUUUUGAGGCCUGAUGUUCCAGGGAAGUCCUUGUGCUGCAUAUAUUUGAGAUCAAAGCCAGGACCUAUCAAAUGUGAACAGGUUUGAUGACUAGAAAGACAAGAAAGCUGCUCCCGCACUUUGCUGUUCUGGUUCUGUACUUGCAGGAGGGGAAAAAAAGGAAAAGGAUGAGAAAGCAAGACUUGACUACAUGCAAUAGCAGAUAUGGCUGGAUGUAGAAGCAGAUCUGCAGAAAGCACUACACUUCAUGGAGGAUGGGACAGGAGAAUAGCCAAAGGAAGUCGAUGAGGAUGGCUGUACUGGUGAGGAACUAAGGAGCUGACAUUACUUCAUCUGAAGAGAAAAGAAGACAAAGCACUCCUUGUAUGGUUAAAAAAAAAAAGAGGCAGAAGCAUCAAAUGAAGGACUGUUUGAAUUGGAAAACUAAUGAGUAUUUCAGGUUAUUCAAAUCCACACUUACUCUAACACUGGAAGCCGUUCCAGCAGCAGCAGCACCUUGAGGAGGACAUCAGGAGGAGGUCAGAGAGGUGAUACUUAGCAGGCCUUUCUACAGGACUCUGAAUGACACAGCUGUCCUCCUCCAGAGUUGAACUUCUGCCCUCCUGCAUGGCAAGAAACAGAUAUGCACGUCCUCUGUCAGCACUCUCCAUCUCCAGCAUUCAGACUCCUGCAACCUUCCCACUGGUCCACAUCCUCACGCAGUCUUCCCAGUAAGGGGAAGAGAGCUGUAGAGAAUAGAAUAACCAUGGUUACUCCUACAUCGUCAGAAUUGGAAAGUAAUGUUAUCCAUGGGCUGAAGGAAGCUCAACCCUGCAGUCCAUUCUUCAAGCUCCUUCCCUACAAAUGCAGUGGGAGAGAUGUCAUUUGGGUGCCAAUGAGUUGUGUGCAUCAUAAAGGUGAUCACAUACCAAUUUCUUUUGGGAUCCACUCUAAAGAAAUGAAAGCUCAUUUUUUUCAGUUCAGAGCAUUUGCCAGUAGAUGGUGUGAGGAAUUUCUCCAAUCGCAGUGACACCAAAUGGUGCUGACAUCUGAAAAAAAAGCAGUGUUUUAUGACAGUAGCAAGAAUUACUUCUCCUUGUGAAUCUAUAUUCUGUCAUAGAGUUUACAAUUGCGCUUGCUGAAAUGCUGUCAUUUUCAUUUAAACUAAAGGUCCUCUGCAGCAGGCAGCUCCACAAAGGGUCUCACCUCGUCAACAGCCAUUUCUUAGGAGUGUGAGAUUAGCAGAGCGGCAGCUGAAACAAAAGCUACCUGUUAAACACACUGAGGGUCAGCUACAGGAGGAUGAUGCUAGAUGCUUCAAAAACAAGGCCUCAAGGUACACAGAAUAGAUGCAGAUUAUUAUUAAGAGUGACUGCAGCCCCGGUUUUCCUAAACCUCAGCUCUAGUGUCUAAAUCUGUCUUCCCAUUCCCCUUGUAAGAUAGCCAGAGCUGCUGGACUCUCCAACUAUUCAGAAGACUUUCAAACAUUACCUCUUCAUGAACACCUGAAAAUGCAAUACCUACAGGUAGCAGGCUUGGUUUUUCAGGUUGUGCAGCAUUUGGGAACUCUCUCUUGUUUCUGGGAUUACUAGUAGUUCAGAACUAAAUCAAGCUUCUGAUUUAAGUUUCUGAUGGUUAGGGUGAACGUGAAUGACUUCACACAACUUUAAUGGAAGAUAAACAGCAAAAUGACCCAGUUUGACACAAGAAAUGAAUUGAAGUUUAAAAUGACUCAGUUUCCAAAAGUUUUAUCGUGGAAUUUCUCUUUGUUACUGUUCCUGUAUUUGAGAGAAAUGUGGCACACAUAGAAGACUAGCAGCUAUUUUGGUCAGCAGUGAUUGAAAAAAAACCCAUCUACUUUCACAGUUUUAUUAGAAAUGGUAUCCUGAGAGACUGGAUUUGUAUUCUAUGUUUUUUUUUAGGCAAGGCUGCACUAUAUCUGCAGUUUUGCUGGCAGAAUUUGCAUCAUUAAUUUAUGCAAACCAAAGGCAGUGAGGAAUCCAGAAACCAUUUUAAAAUGUGUGUAAGUCAGACAUUUAGAACUGAAACAUCCACACUCUUCCUAUAGCCUAUUGCUGCGUGACUUCUUUUCAGUUCCUUCUGGAGUGUGCCAGUAAUCUUUUCUUCUCUUUGGUAAGCCAGAGUAACCCAGUAUAUGAAAAAGUGCUUUGAAACAUCUGCUCUGAAUUUGUUUUUUAAUUAAUUAACAAGUAAAUGCUUUUCUGGUUGUGGUGAAUUAUGGCAACUUGUGUUAAAAUCAUUUACCGUGUUAAAAAAUGUAAAGACUUCGAUUAUAGCAUGAUCUUUCUCCUCAGAUAAUUUUAAGAUGAUGUAGUUUCAACCUCUGUAGUUUCUCCUCAUUUUUAUAUGUUUUUAAUAUGAGAUUCCAGUUUAUUAACAGCUGCAUCACUUUACAGUGCUAACAGAUGCUAUUAUACAACCAGGCUAUGAGAACAGACUUCAGCACGCAGGUUUCAAUUUCCUUACCCUUAGUAACAGGGCUGCAGAAACCAAGAUGUACUCCCCUCCUUCUUUCAGUAUCUAAUACUUUAAUACUUGGCACUUAAUCUUUAUUACAGACACCAGUAAAGCAGAUGAGCAAAGUUAUUGUAAAGUCUUUUCAUACAGGAUUUAUCUUCUCUCCUUCACGUCUGCAGUCUGUCAUACAUCAAUUUGUGGUCAUAAGGUACAAAAUAACAGUUUUUUACUGAAAGAAAAUAAAAUUCUUGGCUUGGUUCAGAGCAGGGUUCCAGGAUAGCUCGUUGGGUAGUAGGCUACAGGCAUUCUGCCUCUGACAGGGCUUUGCUUUGCCUUCUCGGCAUAUUCAGAGAGGUGCUAUGUGGCAGGGAAGUGUUCAGAAUGAGGGACUGGGCCUCUACCACCUGCGGUGACGUUGGGCCACUUGGGACAAAGGACUGAUCAGCAAGCACAGCAUCCAGUUCUCUUACCUGGCAGCCAAGCCCAGGGAGCACCAGCUCCAUUUGUGCUGCUGAAUGCAUUUAGCUAUUCAUUAAUUUUUCGAUUACUACAGAUGAGCACACGAGCUCUUCUUCCUCCUCAUUCCUUCACCCUCCUUGUCCCAGAAUGGCUUUUAGCUGCAAUGCCUGGAACUCAGACAAGCAGUGUCGCAUCUUUUCUUGCAGGAGAAGAGAACAAAGAUUUAUAGUGUGAGCUAUGAAAUGAUGAACGAGGGGGAAGUGAUUCCUCCUCCUGCUAUCUGGGGAAAUCUAAUCUUGCAUUUUAGACUUGGAGAGCAGUCAGUUUUUUCCAGAUCAAAUAAAAUAUUUUGUGUAGGAAUGACCUUUUUGUUUAAGCAAGGAAAAUGGAAGAAAUAUAUUUGUUUCAGACUGAACUGAUUUAGAUUUUGGUUCAUUUUUUGAUAUAACAUCGUGGUAUUGAGGAUAAAAUAUUGAGCAGUGCCGUGAAGAAGGUUAUGCUGUAGUUACCAUUCAUGGCCAAUAUACUUAAGCUGGUAACAAAUGCUAUGCAAAAUGAUAUAGUAGGAACUCAUUACUAUGCUUGUAAAAUAAUUUAUGUUUCUCCUUUUUUGCUGACUACUGCCUUCUCUCACACAAAAUCACAGAAUCACAAAAUAUCCCAAGCUGGAAGGGACCCAGAAGAAUCACUGAGUCCAACUCUGGCUCCACACAGGACCACCCAAACCCUAUGUCUCAGAGCAGUGCCCAAACGCGCCCUGAGCUCCAGGAGCCUGUUCCAUGCCCACUGCCCUCUGGUGCAGAGCCGUUACCCCAAACCAACCUGACCCUCCGCUGAGGCGGCUCCAUGCCAUUCCCUCAGGUCCUGUCACCAUUACCGGAGAGCAGAGCUCCGUGCUGCCCCUCUGCUCGCAGUGAGGAGCUGUGGGAUGCCAUGAGAGAGCUUUUCUCUGGGCUGAACAAACCAAGGGACCUCAGCUGCUCCCCUCCACCCCUUGCCCUCCUCAGCAGCACGAGUUAUGAAAAGGAGGCAUGGAUUACAUCUUACAGGUAAGAUGAAAAGAAAAGUAUGUAUGAGUACAAUUCCAGAGUCUGUGACUAUUAGGAUAAGAAACCAAAUAAAAAAGAAUCUACAUCUCCAGACUCUAUUCCUGGAUUAACUGUAGAUGCAAUUUACAGGAGUUCUUCCAAUCAUCCCUCACUUUGUCUUGCUUCCACUCAAGUUCAUUGUCCUAAAAGAUCUGGCUUGUUAGGAAACAAAAACUAUGUUGUUUCAACUGCUAUGUGAUGAGUCACAAUGAGUGGUAGAGAUCUUUAGAAAUGAUAGGAAUCCUUAAUUCCAACUGAGCUCAUGGCUGCUAUGGAAAAGCAGACCCUGUAUGCGCUUAGAAGAGAAAGUAAAAUACAGUCUUUUCCUACAUUGAGGAACUUGCUUUUUCUCAAGCGUUGGCAUACAUUUGAUGAUUCAGGUCAAUGCAACCUUUCCUACAUCUUUCCUACUUAAAAGAAACCCUUUAGAACAGCAGGC